This 523-nucleotide long non-coding RNA is filed under the name Pongo abelii (Sumatran orangutan). Its description in RNAcentral is "lincRNA". Lineage: Eukaryota; Metazoa; Chordata; Mammalia; Primates; Hominidae. The record is from RNAcentral.
GUUAGGUUCUGCCAAUAGAAGAUACUAGAGAAAGAAAGCCAAGAGAAGAAAAGAGACUUCUUCCUUCAAAGUCUAAGCUGUUCCAAUGGCAUUAUUCUGGGAAUGGCAUCUCCCACUCCUUCUAGCACAAAGAACCAGCUUCCUCAUACCCCGUCAAGGAACUGCAGCCUCCAGAAUACAUUCAUACCUAACACCUCAAUAGAUGACAUGUUAUCCAUGGAAUCGAGUUCAAAGCCCUCUGUAACGUGGCUAUAUCCCAUCUACUCUGAGCUGAUGUUCAGCAGGUGAUGGCCACAGUGGCAGAACCUAGGAAGCCAAGAAGAAACCAGAGAACGGAGACACAUGGCAGCAAUGGCAAGUCAUCAGACCCAGGAUUUCCCAAAGAACACUGGUCCAGGAAGAUGCUCUGUGAAAAAGUGUUCCCCAGUCAGAGAAAUUUGUGAAACACUUUGCAUAAUACUUAAAAUAAUGUAUGGCACAUCAAAGGUAAUAUGCAAUAAGGGAAUUCAUUUUUUAAAACCAA